RNAcentral lists this ribosomal RNA (580 nucleotides) under Alteromonas macleodii. RNAcentral's name for it is "bacterial SSU rRNA". It matches the Rfam family "Bacterial small subunit ribosomal RNA", at positions 71 to 646 of the family's 1533-position model. The record is from RNAcentral. Lineage: Bacteria; Pseudomonadati; Pseudomonadota; Gammaproteobacteria; Alteromonadales; Alteromonadaceae.
AUUUCUAGCUUGCUAGAAGAUGACGAGUGGCGGACGGGUGAGUAAUGCUUGGGAACUUGCCUUUGCGAGGGGGAUAACAGUUGGAAACGACUGCUAAUACCGCAUAAUGUCUUCGGACCAAACGGGGCUUCGGCUCCGGCGCAAAGAGAGGCCCAAGUGAGAUUAGCUAGUUGGUAAGGUAACGGCUUACCAAGGCGACGAUCUCUAGCUGUUCUGAGAGGAAGAUCAGCCACACUGGGACUGAGACACGGCCCAGACUCCUACGGGAGGCAGCAGUGGGGAAUAUUGCACAAUGGGGGAAACCCUGAUGCAGCCAUGCCGCGUGUGUGAAGAAGGCCUUCGGGUUGUAAAGCACUUUCAGUUGUGAGGAAAAGUUAGUAGUUAAUACCUGCUAGCCGUGACGUUAACAACAGAAGAAGCACCGGCUAACUCCGUGCCAGCAGCCGCGGUAAUACGGAGGGUGCGAGCGUUAAUCGGGAAUUACUGGGCGUAAAGCGCACGCAGGCGGUGUUGUUAAGCUAGAUGUGAAAGCCCCGGGGCUCAACCCUGGGGAUGGUCAUUUAGAACUGGCAGACUAGAG